Molecule: long non-coding RNA, 3282 nt
Filed under: Podarcis lilfordi (Lilford's wall lizard)
Lineage: Eukaryota; Metazoa; Chordata; Lepidosauria; Squamata; Lacertidae
Source: RNAcentral
CCUCUCCAUUUUUAAUAAAAUCUAAUAGCAAAUAAUGUUCAACUCUAGGUUGGUCACCUUUACGCUUUUGUUCAGGAAGCUUAUUUAGCAUAAUUUCAAUGAUGCAUAAAUACCUGGUUACUAGUUAAAAGAAAAUCAGUUACAAGUUCUAGAAGGAAAUAGCAGACGGAUGUAAUAUAUGAUCUUAAGGCUAAUCAUGCCAGAUAAAUGAGAUCAAGUUUUGAGACUAGUGUCAGAGGGAAGCACAGCUGGGUAUUUUCAAACCCCCAAACUGAGUUUCAUUAGAAUAUUUGAUGCAAUACCACAACGGAAAUAACUUUUCUUACAUUAUUCUUAUUCGUCAUGUAUAUAGUACAUUCAGUGAGCAUGGUGCUCUACUGAGGUGACAUGAUGCCCUCAAGGUGUUUUGGACUACAUAUCCCAUAAUCCAUGUUGGUUGAGGCUGAGAGGAGCUGUAGUCCAGAACACAGGGAGGGCACCAAGUACAAGAGGCCUGGUCCCUGCCCAGAGGAGCUUUCAGUCUGAAAUUCAACACAUGUAAAACAAUAAAGGAAGGGGGUGACAGAGGUAAACAGGGAAAGCAACAUGCAAUUAAAUUUCAGUUGUGUGUGCUUAGCCUUAAUUACAGGUCUAGCUGCAGAAAGGAAUGGAAACAAAGACGUUUUAUGAAGGGCUUCCUAGAAAAGGUGGGUUUUGAAGGAAGGAAGACAGCUGACAUCUCAAAUGUGUUCCAGGAGACAGUACCAAGCCUACAGGGCAGCGAAGGGAAAAAGGCAAAACCUCCUGAGGUCCUCAGUAUUGAUGUUCAUUUUUUCUUAUUUCAAUGAUCAGUCCAUGAAAGCAAAAGUAUCCAAAAGUUGAAAGAAGGAAGCAGCAGUAGUGAGGUGAUGAAAAGUAAUGAAGACACCAAGGACAUUAUGCUGUAUGAACUGCUUGACCUCGUGAUCUAAGGAGCAUCUUCCAUUUCUACAAUCACUCCAGCUGCAGUUCCAAGCCUCUGAUCCAAUUUCAAUUUUGCCUUAUUGAAGGCAGGUGAAAAUUCCAAAUAGUAAUUCAAACAGGGCCAUAACCAUUUGCUGAAUAUCAUUAUUAAUAUUCAGUGCUUUUUUUUCUUAAAAAAAUGUUUAUGGGUACUCUCAUUUUCCUACUCAUAUUGAAAUACUGCCCCUCAAUGAGGCCAAACUUAGAUUCACAAAAUGUUUAGGGGUAUGCGUCCCCCCCCCCGAAAAAAAAGCACUGUUAAUAUUUAAACCUUACUGGAAACACUUUCCUUCACUGAGCUGCUACAAUCCUAAGCAUACUUGCUAGAAAGUCUGUCCCAAAGAACUCAGAAGCCCCUUUCCAAGAAAACCAUAAACAAGACUGAGUUGUCGUUGCAUUUCUCUUCCCCAAAGCUAGUUGCCUUUGUGGCUCCUGUGGCUGAUCCAGUCCCAACCCCUCCUCCUUCCUCCUCCUCCUGUGUCACUCUGUCAUUUCCUGGAAGGGAAAAAUAUAUAUGUGCUUAUUCAUUUCCUAAGGGCAUAUCUUGUGCAAUUGUGCAAUUGAAGAUCUAUUUUAUGAGAGGUGGCUGGAAGCGUCAGGUCUAAGCAAAACCAAACUGGUCACAGAGGGAAUAAAACUGCAUUCUAAAAAUAAAGAUUAAUACCAGGGCUCCCCCUCCCCCAGCUAGAACUCAAUCCUGGCCCCUCUCAGGUGGUGCCAUUGCCAUUCCAAGAGAACGAGGGAGGUGUUCAUGGUAUGCUCCAGACCUUUAUAGAAGAAUAGCACUGAUUAAUACUAUGCACAGAGAUAGGUUAUUCAAAUUAUAUGAAAAAGAGAAAGAUUACACAAAUUAUCAGGGCUAAAUUUACACUGGAGCCCAGAAUCAGCUUUCAGUACCAUGGUAUGCCAUGGAACUAGAAAAAUCACAAAUAUGAAAAGUGCCUCAAAUCUUGUGGCCCUUCUAGAUUUGCACUUUUAUGGCUGUAAAAGAAAAGGGUCACUUCAUCACUGAUUUAUUCCAUCAUUUAAAUACACGCACCAGGAAAGUCAUGGUGAAAUUCACUGAUUUUUAGCCAAUGGCAACCUAGAUUUAUCAUUAUUCUUUUGAUUUCCAAGGUUCAGGCUGUGUCAUUGUUUAUAUAGCUAAAACAGCAGCACCCCCACACAAGAGGGAGAUAUCAACAGACUUCUGAAGACCCAAGGCUGGAAGAAGUACCCCCCCAAAAAACUAAAACACCUUUGGUGGGAAAAAUCCUAAGAGGGAGGCCCCAAAACAGCCCAAGGUGGACUGAGCAUGCCAAGUGAUCAUGGAAUGCUGACCAACUUUUGAGGUAGGUGGAAUACGAGAAUGGAAUGGCACUGAUGCCAUCAUCAUCAUCAUCAUCAUCAUUAUUAUUAUUAAAAUUUGUAUACAAAAUAAAAACACUAAAUACAUAACAACAACAAAACUGUAUGAAUGUUCUGCCAUACGAUAUAUAUACAUUUUUUAAAAACCCUCUGCGCAUAGCAAAGUAAAUGUCAAAGUGAAAGCUUCUUGCUAAUUAUGCUAUGGGGGGUGUUCCUGUGCAGGGAAAUUUUUGUAUGGCAGAGCAUUCCAUUGUGUAAGCCUUCACCUACGGUCUGAAGUGGUACACCCCAGAAACAGAUCUGCAACCUCAUCAAGAAGUAGGCCUGGUGAAGCUUCACUUUUGCUAUUCAGCAGAAUGGGCUUUCCUGUUUAAAGAAGAAAGGGGGUGUUUUCCUAUAGCGUGUAAAAACAAGGAGGAUUUGUAAUCAAUUGUUGCUCUUUUAAACUAACAAACUUUUCACCUCCCUGUUUCAAGAAAAUGAAUUAUCAGACUGGAUUAUAAAAAUGUAGAAUCACAUAAGGAUUUUUACCCACUUCAAUAUCCAGAUGGUGGGAAGUUGGGGAUUGGGGGGGGGGGAGCUUUUAACAAGUAACUCUUAAAAUGGUACAAAAUUAAGCUCAUCUGCUUUUUAUGGCUUCAAAAUUAGAUUCAUGUUGCCUUUUGAGAAAAAUCAAAGCCAGCAAACCUCUUCAUCAGGCAGCAUUUUCUUUCAGAUCUGGCAUUAGUCGAGUUUUGCUUCAUUCAUUUCCAUUCAAACGAUUUUUUUUCCUUCAGGGAGAAGAAGGAAUGCAUCAUCUCUUCAGUUUUAAUACAGUCAGCUGAGCUAAGAAUUUCUGACCAGAAAUGCUGAUGGCACAAGGACAGUCCUAGGGAUAUUUAUUAACACACUCCCCAUGAAAUAGAUGUGAGCAUUAAGACAGAGCAAAAGCAAUGUAUUUCUAUAGAAUUUCCA